Molecule: long non-coding RNA, 1088 nt
Organism: Oreochromis niloticus (Nile tilapia)
Lineage: Eukaryota; Metazoa; Chordata; Actinopteri; Cichliformes; Cichlidae
Exons: 3
Source: RefSeq, a predicted model, not a curated record
UCAGGUGGAGUGAGGUCACGCAUGGUCAGAGCCAAAAAGGAUCACCUGAAGGAUGUCAGGACUUUGGCAUCCUUUGUGUGUGUGCAUGUAGCUGGAAAUAAAAUUCAGAAAUCAUGUUUCCUCUUAGUUUAUUCUUUCUUUUUUUCCACCUCAUAAUGCAGAAUGGGGUCAACGAUCUCAGCCUGAGCCCCGUGAAUGCGUUCAAAGAGGGGAUGAAGCAAAGAACAAACAAGUGCUGGAAAAGAAACGGACAGGGAGUCUGCUGAGAAGAAAAAAGGAGCUGUGUCCUGUGGCUGGCACCCAGACAGGCUGGUUUGGACCUCCAUUCGUGCAACCAGCCUCCUACCCAUAUCCACAUCACUCUGGUCACUUAAAGAGCCUCAUCAAGCCUCCAUCUCCAUCACCGCCAGCGUCUAGACUCGAGAAAGGAGAGUCUUGGCAAGUGCCUGGAAAGAAACACAGAUGAAACAGAGAAGACAGCAGAGGAGACAUAGCAGAGCCAUAGAUAAACAGAUGGACCACAUGUGGUACUGGCAAGCUGCCGAUUUCCACAACUAGCCAGCAACCCAGUCCAUCGGCUGUUUAAACAAACCGAUACAGUCAGUGAGCUGUCCGGCCAGGUGGCCCUGCCAACCCAAAUGUGAGUAAAUCAGAUGUGAGACAAAGGGGGAAAAUAUGUGACGAAAAGAUGGCAAAGAAAGAGUCGUACCGAGGUCUGAGAGGAACAACGGGACAAAAAUCAGAGAAGGAAGGGAAGAAAAGGAGAACUAGAUCCAGAAGAACGGAGGCAGAAACACAGUAGCGUUUCCUUCCAGCAACCCUGGGAUGAGUCACGAUGAGUGGGCUGCCCGUUCACCAGGCAACUACUAAAAUACCCCAUAUACAAAAAAAGGCAACGUACGCACACACACUCACAGACGUACACAAAAGAGAUGUCAAACACUCUCACACAUAAAUGUUCGCACCAAACUCUCAACACAUGCGGAAAACCAAAGCAAACAACAGAAGUAACCCCUCGUGAUAAUGAGAGGGUAAACAGAACGGCUAAGCCUGCCGGACAUCUAAACAAUAUUUAUGUGUCACAUGUA